Molecule: long non-coding RNA, 1137 nt
Organism: Alligator mississippiensis (American alligator)
Lineage: Eukaryota; Metazoa; Chordata; Crocodylia; Alligatoridae
Exons: 3
Source: RefSeq, a predicted model, not a curated record
UCAGACAUGUGCGCGGUCAGUGCAGAGUUUGGGUCCCUUCAUUUCUUCGGCCUCUUUAAAAGACGACAUUUUCCUUUUGUUUGCAUCCAGCCGUUUAAUCCCCCUGCUAAUUUAGCUCAUUCGACCCACUGGGAACCGGGGACUCUUAAAGCAAAUGCAUCAACUCUGCCGAGUUGCAGUUGCCAGCCUCUGUCAAGUAAUUACGGGCUGUUCCAGUGGAGUGAGAAAUUUCAGCCUACUUGCUUUUCCCAGGUGGUCCACUUGUUAGGUUCUGGCUUUCGAGAUUACAUGCCUUGGAUUAAAUUUUAUGUACUUUUAUGUAGUAAAAUAAAAAGAGGAGCGCACUUCCAUUUCAGCGCCUGCCCCAACGGGGAACGCUCUAGACGGGCAGUAUAAAUUCCAGAUUGGUUCAGCGAGGAUCGUUCGCCCGGGCCUCCUCCCGCCGCUUAAACGGGGCGAUCCACACGCCUCUCACGUCGUGCACGCCGACCAACUGUUGCCCCAUUUUUUUUAAUUUUUUUUUUUUUUAUGGCUGUAAUUUGCUAACGCAAUCAGCACUUAACGACGAGACUAAAUUUUUAGAGCACCUUAUUUAAGUGUACGGCGUGGGUUUCUAUGCCGCGUGCAAUUUGCUGCUCUGCUAAUUUUUAGAUACGUUCCUUAUUUAAUCAUAUGUCUUGCACAUUAAACAGUGGGUCCCCGUGUCUCUUUAGCAGAUUGAAAUCUAAGGGGGAAAUUAUUCUCCCCCUCCAGGCGUAAGCGUUGGAAGUCCUCAGGAGCAAUAAAGGGAAUUGUGCGCGGGGACAAUAUAGCCAUCCGCAGGUUUCUAGUCGUGUCAGCUCCAUCCAGGAAGCUCUUUGGCUGAUUUACUUUACGUACUAUUAGAGAUGUUCUCUCAAGCUCGGCCACACGGUGAUGGACGCAAACCGCGCUGGCGCAGCGUCUGCUGCGUGACACGGAGCAGGUUUAUGACCUCGAUACAACCUCCCUGCGUCUCAGAACGGUUUGUUGGAAGCUAUUUUACGCAGAUCGAUAUGGUUUAAAGUAUGCAGUGGAGUGAUUUAGGUUUGGCAUACCCAGUUUAAGACCGCUGAAGAAUGAGUCUAUGGGCUAAUGUAGACGAGUAACAGGUUGAUG